Molecule: long non-coding RNA, 720 nt
Filed under: Phoenix dactylifera (date palm)
Lineage: Eukaryota; Viridiplantae; Streptophyta; Magnoliopsida; Arecales; Arecaceae
Description: long non-coding RNA (PDAC_LNC019003)
Source: RNAcentral
AAAGCGCGAGUCCACUCUCUCAGACAGACAGAAACAUGUAUUUCGGAUCGCAAAGCGCGAGUCGACUCAAGUCGAGCGCGAGCCGUCUCUCAUCUUUCGGAUGAAGCGCGAGACGACUCUCAACAACUAUGAGACGCCUCUCUCAGACAGACAGAAACAUGUACUUCAGGUCGCAAAGCACGAGUCGACUCGAGUCGAGCGCGAGUCGUCUCCUAUCUGUCGGACGAAGCGCGACUCGCCUCCUAACUACUACGAGAUGUCUCUCUCAGACAAAGGAAGAGCACUCUUUUUCGGCGGACCAGGACGCAAGACGAUUCCUGAACCGCGCGAGCUGACUCCAACAAAAAUCGACCAAUAACCUGGCAGCGGGAUUUCGAGCCAGAGUCGACUCCAGAAUUAUACAAGACAUCUCCCACUUCAGUAGAGCCGACUCCUGGACAGGUGAGACGACUCCAGCUUCAACGGACUUUUUGUCAGAAGUGCCAGGCGCAAUAGAAUAGCUACUCUUCUCAGUCUAACGGCUAGUUUUUCAAAAUGAAGAUAUAAGAAGACCCGUUCUAAGUGACACAGUAACAAGAAUGAAAAAUCAAAACAAAAAGAUCAAGCAAAUUAUUUAAAACUAGAGCUCAAAGGUAAUUCAAAGGGAAAAUCAGAAAAAAGCAACUCUUCAACGAGAACCCACCCUUUCUCUGCACCAGAGCCGAAAUAGAAAGAUUCUCC